CACGUAGGGGGCAAGCGUUGUCCGGAUUUAUUGGGCGUAAAGAGCUCGUAGGCGGCUCGGUAAGUCAGGUGUGAAACCUCCAGGCUCAACCUGGAGACGCCACUUGAUACUGCUGUGGCUAGAGUCCGGUAGGGGAGCGUGGAAUUCCCAGUGUAGCGGUGAAAUGCGCAGAUAUUGGGAGGAACACCAGCGGCGAAGGCGGCGCUCUGGGCCGGAACUGACGCUGAGGAGCGAAAGCGUGGGGAGCGAACAGG
This 254-nucleotide ribosomal RNA is filed under the name uncultured bacterium. RNAcentral's name for it is "partial 16S ribosomal RNA". It matches the Rfam family "Bacterial small subunit ribosomal RNA", at positions 524 to 776 of the family's 1533-position model. The record is from RNAcentral.